ACCGUAAACAAUUAAUUUACACCUAUCAGCGCCAGGGAAUUACGAGCAAUGCUUAAAACCCAAAGGAUUUGACGGUGUCCCACCCAGCUAGAGGAGCCUGUUCUAUAAUCGAUGAUCCCCGCUACACCCGACCAUUUCUAGCUCAUCAUUCUGUAUACCUCCGUCAAAAGCUUACCAUGUGAACCCUCUUCAGUAGGCUCAAAGAUACAACACCCAUCAUCACGUCAGGUCGAGGUGCAACUUAAGAGAUGGGAAGUGAUUGGCUACCUUUUCUAAAUUAAAACAAACAAAAGGUUAUGUCAAAUCCUGGCCGUGAAGGUGGAUUUAGUAAUAAAAAAAAAUUUUAUUGUUCUUUUUAACCCGGGUCUGGGACGUGUACCCCCCGCCCCUCCCCCUCUUCGAUUGUCCAUGAUCCUGUCCCCAACCCUUUAUUAUUUUUAAGAAAAUGCAAGUCGAAACACUGUAAUUGUACUGGAAAGUGCUCUUGGAUUAUA
This 494-nucleotide ribosomal RNA is filed under the name Lithobates magnaocularis (northwest Mexico leopard frog). RNAcentral describes it as "Rana magnaocularis (northwest Mexico leopard frog) partial 12S ribosomal RNA". It matches the Rfam family "Bacterial small subunit ribosomal RNA", at positions 799 to 1525 of the family's 1533-position model. Lineage: Eukaryota; Metazoa; Chordata; Amphibia; Anura; Ranidae. The record is from RNAcentral.